GACGAACGCUGGCGGCGUGCUUAACACAUGCAAGUCGAACGGAAAGGCCUGCUUUCCCUUGUGGAUUGCGGGUACUCGAGUGGCGAACGGGUGAGUAACACGUGAGUGAUCUGCCCCCAACUUGGGUAUAAGCCUGGGAAACUGGGUCUAAUUCCCGAUAGGACUGCAGGGUGGUGCCUGUGGUGGAAAACGAUUUUCUAGUGGUUGGGGAUGAGCUCGCGGCCUAUCAGCUUGUUGGUGGGGUAAUGGCCUACCAAGGCGGCGACGGGUAGCCGGCCUGGGAGGGUGGACGGCCACAUUGGGACUGAGAUACGGCCCAGACUCCUACGGGAGGCAGCAGUGGGGAAUAAGGCACAAUGGGCGGAAGCCUGAUGCAGCGACGCCGCGUGGGGGAUGACGGCCUUCGGGUUGUAAACUCCUUUCGACCGCGAGGAAGCCACCUGGUUGGAAGGGUGGUGACGGUAGUGGUAGAAGAAGCACCGGCUAACUACGUG
RNAcentral lists this ribosomal RNA (494 nucleotides) under uncultured bacterium. Its description in RNAcentral is "partial 16S ribosomal RNA". It matches the Rfam family "Bacterial small subunit ribosomal RNA", at positions 28 to 507 of the family's 1533-position model. The record is from RNAcentral.